AGAGUUUGAUCAUGGCUCAGAUUGAACGCUGGCGGCAGGCUUAACACAUGCAAGUCGAACGGUAACAGGGAGAAGCUUGCUUCUUUGCUGACGAGUGGCGGACGGGUGAGUAAUGCUUGGGAAUCUGGCUUAUGGAGGGGGAUAACUACGGGAAACUGUAGCUAAUACCGCGUAAUAUCUUCGGAUUAAAGGGUGGGACUUUCGGGCCACCUGCCAUAAGAUGAGCCCAAGUGGGAUUAGGUAGUUGGUGGGGUAAAGGCCUACCAAGCCGACGAUCUCUAGCUGGUCUGAGAGGAUGGCCAGCCACACUGGAACUGAGACACGGUCCAGACUCCUACGGGAGGCAGCAGUGGGGAAUAUUGCACAAUGGGGGGAACCCUGAUGCAGCCAUGCCGCGUGAAUGAAGAAGGCCUUCGGGUUGUAAAGUUCUUUCGGUGAUGAGGAAGGUGUUUGUUUUAAUAGAACAAGCAAUUGACGUUAGUCACAGAAGAAGCACCGGCUAACUCCGUGCCAGCAGCCGCGGUAAUACGGAGGGUGCGAGCGUUAAUCGGAAUGACUGGGCGUAAAGGGCACGCAGGCGGUGACUUAAGUGAGAUGUGAAAGCCCCGGGCUUAACCUGGGAAUUGCAUUUCAUACUGGGUCGCUAGAGUAUUUUAGGGAGGGGUAGAAUUCCACGUGUAGCGGUGAAAUGCGUAGAGAUGUGGAGGAAUACCGAAGGCGAAGGCAGCCCCUUGGGAAUAUACUGACGCUCAUGUGCGAAAGCGUGGGGAGCAAACAGGAUUAGAUACCCUGGUAGUCCACGCUGUAAACGCUGUCGAUUUGGGGAUUGGGCUUAGAGCUUGGUGCCCGUAGCUAACGUGAUAAAUCGACCGCCUGGGGA
This 880-nucleotide ribosomal RNA is filed under the name uncultured bacterium. Its description in RNAcentral is "bacterial SSU rRNA". It matches the Rfam family "Bacterial small subunit ribosomal RNA", at positions 8 to 879 of the family's 1533-position model. The record is from RNAcentral.